UACGGAGGGUGCGAGCGUUGUCCGGAAUCACUGGGCGUAAAGGGCGCGUAGGCGGCCCGCGCAAGCGUGCGGUGAAAGCCCGGGGCCCAACCCCGGGUCGGCCGUGCGGACUGCGGGGCUCGAGCACUGUAGGGGCAGAUGGAAUUCCGGGUGUAGCGGUGGAAUGCGUAGAGAUCCGGAAGAACACCGGUGGCGAAGGCGGUCUGCUGGGCAGUAGCUGACGCUGAGGCGCGACAGCGUGGGGAGCAAACAGG
This 254-nucleotide ribosomal RNA is filed under the name uncultured bacterium. RNAcentral describes it as "partial 16S ribosomal RNA". It matches the Rfam family "Bacterial small subunit ribosomal RNA", at positions 524 to 776 of the family's 1533-position model. The record is from RNAcentral.